Molecule: ribosomal RNA, 254 nt
Filed under: uncultured bacterium
Lineage: Bacteria
Description: partial 16S ribosomal RNA
Rfam family: Bacterial small subunit ribosomal RNA
Source: RNAcentral
CACGUAGGGGGCAAGCGUUGUCCGGAUUUAUUGGGCGUAAAGAGCUCGUAGGCGGCUCAGUAAGUCAGGUGUGAAACCUCCAGGCUCAACCUGGAGACGCCACCUGAUACUGCUGUGGCUAGAGUGCGGUAGGGGAGAUUGGAAUUCCUGGUGUAGCGGUGAAAUGCGCAGAUAUCAGGAGGAACACCGGUGGCGAAGGCGGGUCUCUGGGCCGAUACUGACGCUGAGGAGCGAAAGCGUGGGGAGCGAACAGG